This is a long non-coding RNA of Cyprinus carpio (common carp), 386 nucleotides long. RefSeq lists it as uncharacterized. The transcript is spliced from 4 exons. The record is from RefSeq and is a predicted model, not a curated record. NCBI's taxonomy places the organism in Eukaryota, Metazoa, Chordata, Actinopteri, Cypriniformes, Cyprinidae.
ACCGCCCCAGCCCAAAUACACCGAGGAUGCGGUCGAGGAGCAGGAGGAGCAUCAGGCCGUCGUUUCAGACCUUAAAAAACAACAGGAAGAAGAAAUCCAACAAAUUGAGGAGGAGUCGGUGAUAAAGACUGUGCAUCUGAAGCAGGAGCACGUCUGCGUGAUCGAGCAGCUGGAGCAGACCAUCGAAGACCUGCGCCUGUAAGAUUGCCGAGCUGGAGAAACAGCAGCCCCUGCUGGAGCGGGAGGUGCAGACGCAGGACCAGGAGUGUGGAGGAGAGGAGCGCCUCCUCCCGGACGUCUGCCAUGUGGACCUACAGACAGAAAACACUGCGCUGCUGACGCUGGAGGCCAAAUCAGUGCAGACGUCUCCUGUGGAGGAGUGCUUA